This 167-nucleotide ribosomal RNA is filed under the name uncultured bacterium. Its description in RNAcentral is "partial 16S rRNA". It matches the Rfam family "Bacterial small subunit ribosomal RNA", at positions 355 to 511 of the family's 1533-position model. The record is from RNAcentral.
UAGGGAAUCUUCGGCAAUGGGGGGCAACCCCUGACCGAGCAACGCCGCGUGAGUGAAGAAGGUUUUCGGAUCGUAAAGCUCUGUUGUAAGAGAAGAACGUGUGUGAGAGUGGAAAGUUCACACAGUGACGGUAACUUACCAGAAAGGGACGGCUAACUACGUGCCAG